Molecule: RNA transcript, 1987 nt
Organism: Eriocheir sinensis (Chinese mitten crab)
Lineage: Eukaryota; Metazoa; Arthropoda; Malacostraca; Decapoda; Varunidae
Gene name: complement decay-accelerating factor-like
Exons: 10
Source: RefSeq, a predicted model, not a curated record
UACCCUCCUCUUGAAAGAGUUCAAGUCAUAGGCAGGAGGAAGUACAGACCAAGGAAGACUGUUCGGGAGUUUGCCAUGAAGGGGAUGAAGGAAUGAGGAUGCUGGUUAACUCUUGCAUGAGGGAUUGGGACUGUUGUUUCUUUACUGAUAUCUUUAUUAAUUGAAAUGAAACGUGUUGACUCAAAAAGGUUUAGUGGUUCACCAUUUUGGUACAGGUUUUGUAUCAGUAUUAAUUAUUUAACCCAGGAUUAUUUACCUUCAAUACAUCUAACUAUCUGUCUACUACUACUACUACUACUACUACUACGGGCCUCCAUCUAUUAGAGUUGCGUUGUGAGCGGUAUAUUCUCUCAUAUCCUUUCACAAAGCAAUUCAUUGGCCCCACCCCGCCAAUGACUGUGGCCGACAACCAUCUUUAUUUAAUAUAACAAACUUUACUAAGCAUUUUAUUUUUAAGCUAACAGAGCUUGUGGUUGAUACGACUAUCAACCGCCGUCGCCUCAAAGUCCAGGUCGGCAAUGUGGGUGGUUUUGGGUGCAGGCGACCUGGUUCCUCUCAGGCAGACCAAGGCUGACCUCAGGAGGGAGAAGGACAGCCUGCAUCUCAUCCAGGCGACCACACUGCUUCUUGGCUGCUGUUUCUUAUCCGCCAGUGUUUCGGCGAGUCUUGCGUAGAAGCUCUGCGCCCUUGGUCCCAUCCCUCCUGCCGUCAAGUCCGGUGUCCCAACCUCACUACAACGCUGACUACUGCCUUAAGUGUGGUAGUGGAGGAUAGAGGCCGAGUGGAGGCUACAGCGGACUAUUCCUGCGAGAAGGGGAGGAGGAUAGUCGGGAAUAGUCAGCGGAAGUGUGGUAGUAAUGGUAUCUGGAGUGGCAGUCAACCGCGCUGUGAAUAUGUGACCUGCGACCUACCACAAGGCUUGGAUAAUGGUAGAAUAGUCCGACUCAACCAGACCCUGGAAUACGGUAGCCUGGUCGAAUAUCACUGUCUACCGGAACACAGGCUGGUCGGGGGGACCUUCCGGAGGUCAUGUGGCGAGCUGGGCGAGUGGUUGGGUGGAGAACCGAAGUGUGUGUUGGGUCCAGAGGAUGCCUACAACACCAUAGGCUCCGAUAGUAGUAGUAGUAGUAGUGUGAGUACUACUUCUACUUCUACCGCUAGCAACACCGGGCUCUACAUCGGACUAUUCUUCGGGCUCAUCCUGGCGAUAGUCUUCAUAGGAGUGCUAGUCUACUUCAGAAUGUUUUGGGCGCCCAGCCGUACACGUGAACUAACAGUCUUGGCUUCAGGGCAGGUCGCUAAAAUGGAGUGUCGAUGAUUUGAUUGAGGCAGUAUUCCUCGGCAAAGUGCAUGACAGCUUUUGCCUGGGUCCUCAUGUCUUCCGCUCCUCCAUACACACACUCCAAAUUCCAGUCUGUUAGCGGAAAGUUUAAGUCUGCAAGGCAGUGCCAGUGUUUGGAGUGCCACUGUGCCUGGCCGUCCAGCGCUGCCCGGCACACGAUGGCAUCCAACUGCCCACCAUUGUCAGGGAGUGCAUUGACCAGAUAGAGGUCUCCACUGUGAGGGCAUCUACAGGCUGAGUGGCGUCAAGAGCAAAGUACAUCAACUGCGUCGCCUCUACAACACUGGGGAGGGUGUGAGGCUGUGUGACCAGGAGCCGCACGUCAUCGCAUCCCUCCUCAAGCAGUACCUCAGGGAGUUGCCGGAGCCAGUGAUGCCGUCGGACAUGAUGCCACACUUUGAGGACGUAGCGAUCAUUCCUAACCCCGGGGAGCGCGCCGAGGCCAUGCGCCAGCUGAUCAACCGCCUGCCAACCGCCAACCGCCUGCUGCUCCAAUACAUGUUCAAGCAUAUGGGACACAUCAUUGCAAGGGUGCCUGAGGACGCCUUCCCAUGGACAGCAGCAGGCGACAUCCUCCUGAGGGGCUGCUGUGUGGCGUCCAUCCUUCUUUGUAUAAAGACAAAUACACUUACCUCAACACAACAA